CCUACGGGAGGCUGCAGUGAGGAAUAUUGGUCAAUGGCCGGAAGGCUGAACCAGCCAUGCCGCGUGAAGGUCAGUGCCCUACGGGCGUUAAACUUCUUUUGUGCGGGAGCAAUACUGGUCACGUGUGGCCAGACGAGAGUACCGUACGAAUAAGCAUCGGCUACCUCCGUGCAAGCAGCCGCGGGAAUACGGGGGAUGCAAGGGUUAUCCGGGUUUGUUGGGUUUAAAGGGUGCGUAGGCUGGGAGGUAAGUCAGCGGUGAAAUGCCGCCGCUGAACGGGGUGAAGUGUCAUUGAUACUGCCUGGCUGGAAUGCGGAUGCCGUAGGAGGAAUGUGUGGUGUAGCGGUGAAAUGCAUAGAUAUCA
RNAcentral lists this ribosomal RNA (364 nucleotides) under uncultured bacterium. RNAcentral's name for it is "partial 16S ribosomal RNA". It matches the Rfam family "Bacterial small subunit ribosomal RNA", at positions 338 to 699 of the family's 1533-position model. The record is from RNAcentral.